RNAcentral lists this ribosomal RNA (403 nucleotides) under Prevotella sp. OH937_COT-195. RNAcentral describes it as "bacterial SSU rRNA". It matches the Rfam family "Bacterial small subunit ribosomal RNA", at positions 1 to 397 of the family's 1533-position model. Lineage: Bacteria; Pseudomonadati; Bacteroidota; Bacteroidia; Bacteroidales; Prevotellaceae. The record is from RNAcentral.
AAUGAGAGUUUGAUCCUGGCUCAGGACGAACGCUGGCGGCGUGCCUAAUACAUGCAAGUAGAACGCUGACUACUUUAGCUUGCUAGAGUAGAAGGAGUUGCGAACGGGUGAGUAACGCGUAGGUAACCUGCCUACUAGCGGGGGAUAACUAUUGGAAACGACAGCUAAUACCGCAUAACAGUGUUUAACACAUGUUAGAUGCUUGAAAGAUGCAAAUGCAUCACUAGUAGAUGGACCUGCGUUGUAUUAGCUAGUUGGUGGGGUAACGGCCUACCAAGGCGACGAUACAUAGCCGACCUGAGAGGGUGAUCGGCCACACUGGGACUGAGACACGGCCCAGACUCCUACGGGAGGCAGCAGUAGGGAAUCUUCCGCAAUGGACGAAAGUCUGACGGAGCAACGC